Oncorhynchus tshawytscha (Chinook salmon) is the source of this 890-nucleotide long non-coding RNA. NCBI's taxonomy places the organism in Eukaryota, Metazoa, Chordata, Actinopteri, Salmoniformes, Salmonidae. The record is from Ensembl.
UGUGUGUGUGUGUGUGUUUGUUUUGGCAGCUGGUGUUGAUCUGGUAGCUGUUGAAAAUUGAGUAGAACCCAUCAGAUGUCCUGAUUAAUUGAGAGGUGCGGAGAGACGACGGACAGACAGACGCUCCCUUAACGGGAUUCCACAGCUUCAUCAAUAGGUUUGAUUGGAAAGUGAAGAGUACUUGGGCUGAUUUAUAGCUCAUACGGAGGCUAGUUUGCUAGCGGUGAUAAUCAAAGUGAUCAGGGCAUUCAGAAAGUGAUCAACUAGGUAGAGUUGGGUGGAAGACAGUUGAUAUGUUGCUGUUAUAUUUUUUAUGUCAAAAUGAUACAUUUGUAUAUUUCUAUGGUGUUUUAUUUAAUAUGCUGUAGUUAUAUUACUUAUAUUGAGAAGUUUUGAUAUGUUGUCUAGUUGUAUUACAAAUAUUGAGGAAGAGAGAGAAAGAGAGAUAGACGGAGAGAGAAAGGAGAGAGAGUAAGGAAGAGAGAGACAGGGAGAGAGAGACGGAGACAGAAAGGAGAGUGUAAGGAAGAGAGAGACAGGGAGAGAGAAAGGAGAGAGAAGAAAGGAGAGAGAGACAGGGAGAGAGAGACGGAGAGAGAAAGGAGAGAGAGUAAGGAAGAGAGAGACAGGGAGAGAGAAAGGAGAGAGAACGGAGAGAGAAAGGAGAGAGAGUAAGGAAGAGAUAGACGGAGAGAGAAAGGAGAGAGAGAGAACUUUGUGAUGUCUUUCCUCCCCAGACUAUGGCUUCUCGACCUGAACUAGAGGACCAGAAAUCCACAGGAUCCACAGAGAAGCACAAAGAUGAUCAACUCAGUGAGAACUCAGAGACAGAAGAGAAGGCUUUUUCCAUGGCGCCGGCCCAUUCCACUGUGGCCCUGGUAGAGACGGGG